GGGGUAUUAGCUCAGCUGGGAGAGCGCGUGGUUCGCAAUCACGAGGUCAGGGGUUCGAUCCCCCUAUACUCCACCA
Molecule: transfer RNA, 76 nt
Filed under: bacterium
Lineage: Bacteria
Also listed under: 3 other names
Description: tRNA-Ala
Rfam family: tRNA
About the family: Transfer RNA (tRNA) molecules are approximately 80 nucleotides in length. Their secondary structure includes four short double-helical elements and three loops (D, anti-codon, and T loops). Further hydrogen bonds mediate the characteristic L-shaped molecular structure. tRNAs have two regions of fundamental functional importance: the anti-codon, which is responsible for specific mRNA codon recognition, and the 3' end, to which the tRNAs corresponding amino acid is attached (by aminoacyl-tRNA synthetases). tRNAs cope with the degeneracy of the genetic code in two manners: having more than one tRNA (with a specific anti-codon) for a particular amino acid; and 'wobble' base-pairing, i.e. permitting non-standard base-pairing at the 3rd anti-codon position.
Source: RNAcentral